UUGCACGCUGGCGGCCGGCCUAACACAUGCAAGUCGAACGGUAACAGGAAGAAGCUUGCUUCUUUGCUGACGAGUGGCGGACGGGUGAGUAAUGUCUGGGAAACUGCCUGAUGGAGGGGGAUAACUACUGGAAACGGUAGCUAAUACCGCAUAACGUCGCAAGACCAAAGAGGGGGACCUUCGGGCCUCUUGCCAUCGGAUGUGCCCAGAUGGGAUUAGCUAGUAGGUGGGGUAACGGCUCACCUAGGCGACGAUCCCUAGCUGGUCUGAGAGGAUGACCAGCCACACUGGAACUGAGACACGGUCCAGACUCCUACGGGAGGCAGCAGUGGGGAAUAUUGCACAAUGGGCGCAAGCCUGAUGCAGCCAUGCCGCGUGUAUGAAGAAGGCCUUCGGGUUGUAAAGUACUUUCAGCGGGGAGGAAGGGAGUAAAGUUAAUACCUUUGCUCAUUGACGUUACCCGCAGAAGAAGCACCGGCUAACUCCGUG
Molecule: ribosomal RNA, 489 nt
Filed under: uncultured bacterium
Lineage: Bacteria
Description: partial 16S ribosomal RNA
Rfam family: Bacterial small subunit ribosomal RNA
Source: RNAcentral